UCCUGGCUCAGAUUGAACGCUGGCGGCAUGCCUUACACAUGCAAGUCGAACGGUAACAGGUUAAGCUGACGAGUGGCGAACGGGUGAGUAAUGUAUCGGAACGUGCCCAGUCGUGGGGGAUAACUGCUCGAAAGAGCAGCUAAUACCGCAUACGACCUGAGGGUGAAAGCGGGGGAUCGCAAGACCUCGCGCGAUUGGAGCGGCCGAUAUCAGAUUAGGUAGUUGGUGAGGUAAAGGCUCACCAAGCCGACGAUCUGUAGCUGGUCUGAGAGGACGACCAGCCACACUGGGACUGAGACACGGCCCAGACUCCUACGGGAGGCAGCAGUGGGGAAUUUUGGACAAUGGACGCAAGCCUGAUCCAGCCAUGCCGCGUGCGGGAAGAAGGCCUUCGGGUUGUAAACCGCUUUUGUCAGGGAAGAAAAGGUUCUGGCUAAUACCUGGGACUCAUGACGGUACCUGAAGAAUAAGCACCGGCUAACUACGUGCCAGCAGCCGCGGUAAUACGUAGGGUGCAAGCGUUAAUCGGAAUUACUGGGCGUAAAGCGUGCGCAGGCGGUUAUGCAAGACAGAGGUGAAAUCCCCGGGCUCAACCUGGGAACUGCCUUUGUGACUGCAUGGCUAGAGUACGGUAGAGGGGGAUGGAAUUCCGCGUGUAGCAGUGAAAUGCGUAGAUAUGCGGAGGAACACCGAUGGCGAAGGCAAUCCCCUGGACCUGUACUGACGCUCAUGCACGAAAGCGUGGGGAGCAAACAGGAUUAGAUACCCUGGUAGUCCACGCCCUAAACGAUGUCAACUGGUUGUUGGGAGGCUUUCUUCUCAGUAACGUAGCUAACGCGUGAAGUUGACGCUUGGGGAGUACGGCCGCAAGCUGAAACUCAAGAAUUGACGGGACCCGCACAAGCGGUGAUGAUGUGGUUAGUCGAUGCACGCGAAAACUUACCUACCUUGACUGUUCUGAUCCUGAAAGAUUCGGGAUGCUCGAAAGAAGCUGAACCAGGGCUGGCAUGCGUCCUCAGCUCGUCCUGGUAGUUGGUUAGUCCGUACAGGCUACCUUGCAUAUGGCUCCUAGACUUUAGAAUGACGGUAACCCGAGAAGUGGGAAUAGAACAUCG
RNAcentral lists this ribosomal RNA (1115 nucleotides) under uncultured bacterium. Its description in RNAcentral is "bacterial SSU rRNA". It matches the Rfam family "Bacterial small subunit ribosomal RNA", at positions 17 to 1142 of the family's 1533-position model. The record is from RNAcentral.